CCUACGGGAGGCAGCAGUGAGGAAUAUUGGUCAAUGGACGAGAGUCUGAACCAGCCAAGUAGCGUGAAGGAUGACUGCCCUAUGGGUUGUAAACUUCUUUUAUAUGGGAAUAAAAUGUUCCACGUGUGGGAUUUUGUAUGUACCAUAUGAAUAAGGAUCGGCUAACUCCGUGCCAGCAGCAGCGGUAAUACGGAGGAUCCGAGCGUUAUCCGGAUUUAUUGGGUUUAAAGGGAGCGUAGGUGGAUUGUUAAGUCAGUUGUGAAAGUUUGCGGCUCAACCGUAAAAUUGCAGUUGAAACUGGCAGUCUUGAGUGCAGUAGAGGUGGGCGGAAUUCGUGGUGUAGCGGUGAAAUGCUUAGAUAUCGCGAAGAACUCCGAUUGCGAAGGCAGUUCACUGGACUGCAACUGACACUGAGGCUCGAAAGUGUGGGUAUCAAACAGGAUUAGAUACCCUGGUAGUC
RNAcentral lists this ribosomal RNA (460 nucleotides) under uncultured bacterium. RNAcentral describes it as "partial 16S ribosomal RNA". It matches the Rfam family "Bacterial small subunit ribosomal RNA", at positions 338 to 795 of the family's 1533-position model. The record is from RNAcentral.